RNAcentral lists this transfer RNA (69 nucleotides) under Ceracris nigricornis nigricornis. Its description in RNAcentral is "tRNA-Ser". It matches the Rfam family "tRNA". Rfam says of the family: Transfer RNA (tRNA) molecules are approximately 80 nucleotides in length. Their secondary structure includes four short double-helical elements and three loops (D, anti-codon, and T loops). The record is from RNAcentral. Lineage: Eukaryota; Metazoa; Arthropoda; Insecta; Orthoptera; Acrididae. RNAcentral also lists the same sequence under 1 other name.
AGUUAAUUAGCUUAAGAAAGCAUAUGUUUUGAAAACAUAAAAUUAGAAGUUCAAUUCUUCUAUUAACUU